Molecule: ribosomal RNA, 460 nt
Filed under: uncultured bacterium
Lineage: Bacteria
Description: partial 16S ribosomal RNA
Rfam family: Bacterial small subunit ribosomal RNA
Source: RNAcentral
CCUACGGGAGGCUGCAGUGAGGAAUAUUGGUCAAUGGGCGCGAGCCUGAACCAGCCAAGUAGCGUGAAGGAUGACUGCCCUCUGGGUUGUAAACUUCUUUUAUAAAGGAAUAAAGUGAGGCACGUAUGCCUUUUUGUAUGUACUUUAUGAAUAAGGAUCGGCUAACUCCGUGCCAGCAGCCGCGGUAAUACGGAGGAUCCGAGCGUUAUCCGGAUUUAUUGGGUUUAAAGGGAGCGUAGAUGGGUUGUUAAGUCAGUUGUGAAAGUUUGCGGCUCAACCGUAAAAUUGCAAUUGAUACUGGCAGCCUUGAGUACAGUAGAGGUAGGCGGAACUCGUUGUGUAGCGGUGAAAUGCUUAGAUAUCACGAAGAACACCGAUUGCGAAGGCAGCCUACUAAACUGCCACUGACAUUGAUGCUCGAAAGUGUGGGUAGCAAACAGGAUUAGAUACCCUUGUAGUC